UACAGCUUGGCACUGAACAUUGACCCUACAUGUGUAGGAUAGGUGGGAGGCUUUGAAGCACAGUCGCUAGAUUGUGUGGAGCCGUCCUUGAAAUACCACCCUUGUAGUGUUGAUGUUCUAACUUAGGUCCCUAAUCGGGAUUGAGGACAGUGCCUGGUGGGUAGUUUGACUGGGGCGGUCUCCUCCCAAAGAGUAACGGAGGAGCACGAAGG
This 212-nucleotide ribosomal RNA is filed under the name Pseudoalteromonas luteoviolacea. RNAcentral describes it as "partial 23S ribosomal RNA". It matches the Rfam family "Bacterial large subunit ribosomal RNA", at positions 2105 to 2316 of the family's 2925-position model. Lineage: Bacteria; Pseudomonadati; Pseudomonadota; Gammaproteobacteria; Alteromonadales; Pseudoalteromonadaceae. The record is from RNAcentral.